Molecule: long non-coding RNA, 1638 nt
Organism: Bos indicus x Bos taurus (hybrid cattle)
Lineage: Eukaryota; Metazoa; Chordata; Mammalia; Artiodactyla; Bovidae
Source: Ensembl
CUUAUUUCAAAUCCUAAGAGAUGAUGCACUCAGUAUGCCAGCAAAUUUGGAAAACUCAGUAGUGGCCACAGGUUGCAGGGUAGUUGUCUGCUAAGGCUGCUGUCAUCUUGAAGCUCAAAUGAGGAAGACAGGGUGGUAGAAUUCACUGUCGCAGAACAGAAUGAAGAAAAAAGAAUGAAAAGAAAUGAGGACAGUCUUUGGGACAACAUAAAAUUCACCAACACUUGCAUUACAGGGCUCCCAGAAGGAUAGGAGAGAGAACCAGGAGGAUAAGAGAAAGAAAGAGCCUGGAAGGUAUUUGAACAGAUACUACUGAAAAAUUCCCUAGCAUGGGAAAGGAGAAAGCCACCCAAGUCCAGGGAACUCAGUGAGUCACAUACAUGAUUCACCCUCUUUCUCCACAGUUUCUGACUUACGGUGCUCCUCCAAGCUCAGGACCCCACGCUGCUCUCCAAGUCAGUACCUCUUCCUACUUUGACUUACUGCCAUCCUCCUCAUGCAGGAACUCCACUCCACACCAAGGACUAUCUCUGCAUAGUUUUUGUCUCACAGCGCUUCUCCUCAUCAGGAACCCUCACCUUCUCCAAGAACUGCACAGCUGUAGAAUUUGGUAUUUCUGCCUGGUUUCUGACCUAGUGUUCUCCUGCUCACUUGGGAUCUCCAUUUCGAAGCAAAACCCUCCACUCCUCUCCGAGUGAGUAUCUGUACCCAGUAUGUGACCUACGCGCUCAUCACUAAGAAUCCCUCACUCCUCUCCAAGUAAGUACAUCUUGCUAUCUCUGCUCUACUGUUGUCCUUCUAAAUCUGCAAGUCCACUACUGUUGAAUUUGAGUAUCUGCCUACUUUCGACUAACUGUGCUCCCCCUCACUCAGGACCUCCACUCGUCUCAAGUGAGCAUCUCUCCCUAGUUUCUGACUGCCUUCCCUCGUCCUCAGUCAGGUCCCUCCACUCCUCUCCACGUGAGUAUCUCUGCCCAGUUUCUCACCUAAUCGCUCCUCCUCAUUCAGGACAUCUACUCAUCUCCAAGUGAGCAUCACUGCCUACUUAACUGACUCCACUCAAGACUUCUCUCCCAGUGUGUAUCUCUACCCAGUGUCUGACCGAUGCGCCCCUGCUUACUCAGAUCCUCUCACAUCUUGCUAGUUUUGCGCACUGCCCUCCUUGUCAGUUAGGAACGCCAUUCCUGUGGAAUCUCUGCCUAGUUUGACUCACUGUGCUCCUCCUCAUCAGAAACCUCUGGUCCUGAGUAUCUGCUCAAUAUCCUAUGUGCUCUUCCUCACUCAAGACCCUCUUUCCUCUUCAAGUGAGUAUCUCAGACUAGUUUCUAACUUACUGAACUUCUCCUAAGUGACGACCCCCUGCCCCUGUCCUCUCCAAGUAAGUAUCUCGGACUACUUUCUAGUUGCGCUCCUCAUCACUCAAGACCUCCUCUCAUUUCCAAGUGAGUACCUCUUCCUAGUUUCUGACUUACUGCCCUCCUCGUCGCUCAAGACCUCCCACUCCUCUCCAAAUGAAUGUCUUUGUCUACCUUCUGACUUACCGCUCUCCUCCUCAUUGAGGAUGCCAGCACUGGUCACUGGGUGUGAAUUUUCUCCAUGUUUCUGUGUUCAAUAAAUAGUUUUUGGCGUGCUCUCCCA